AGGGUGACAGGUGGUGCAUGGUUGUCGUCAGCUCGUGUCGUGAGAUGUUGGGUUAAGUCCCGCAACGAGCGCAACCCUCGACCUUUAGUUGCCAGCAUUCAGUUGGGCACUCUAAGGUGACUGCCGGCUAAAGUCGGAGAAGGUGGGGAUGACGUCAAAUCAUCAUCGCCCCUUAUGACCUGGGCUACACACGUGCUACAAUGGGCGGUAACGAAAGGGUCGCCGAACCCGCGAGGGGGAGCCAAUCCCAAAAAGCCGCUCUCAGUUCGGAUUGCAGGCUGCAACUCGCCUGCAUGAAGCCGGAAUCGCUAGUAAUCGCGGAUCAGCAUGCCGCGGUGAAUACGUUCCCGGGCCUU
This 356-nucleotide ribosomal RNA is filed under the name uncultured Anoxybacillus sp. RNAcentral describes it as "bacterial SSU rRNA". It matches the Rfam family "Bacterial small subunit ribosomal RNA", at positions 1028 to 1382 of the family's 1533-position model. The record is from RNAcentral. Lineage: Bacteria; Bacillati; Bacillota; Bacilli; Caryophanales; Anoxybacillaceae.